Papaver somniferum (opium poppy) is the source of this 1706-nucleotide long non-coding RNA. RefSeq lists it as uncharacterized. The transcript is spliced from 7 exons. The record is from RefSeq and is a predicted model, not a curated record. Lineage: Eukaryota; Viridiplantae; Streptophyta; Magnoliopsida; Ranunculales; Papaveraceae.
CUUAUCUUAUUUUUCAUCGAGCAGCAGCUUCCUGCAUCUUCCUCUCGUUUCAACAGCGCCUCAUCUCAAUUCUCUUCAUCAACACCAACUGAAAAGAGGAGAUUUAUCAACAACAUCAUCUUUUCUCUAUUAUCUUCAUCAAGGCCAAAUGAAAACGAAGGUUCAUCAACAACAUCGGUUCUUGGAGUCUGAAUCGAUGAAGAAUAGACGAUGAGGAUUAUCAACAAUAAUCAAGAGUAAUUCUAUGUUGUCUAAAGCAAUUGGUAAUUGUACAAAAACUUAGAUUACGUCUCUUCAUUAGUAAUUUGAUGGUAAUGGAAACCCUAGAUUUGUUUCUGCUUUGAUCGAUGCUGGUGGUGAUGUGAAUUUUAGGGAUCUAUCAAAUGGGAAAUUUUUGUUGUUUGCAGGCUGCACAAUCGUUGAAUUCCUAAAAUUAACAUUUUUGGGAGUAUGGGAUGAACCAGUUGACCGUGGGGGUUAUUAUAAGUGUGAUGUUUCAAAUUUGAACUUCCUAUUUUAGUUAAUAUCCGAUUUUACUUGUAUUCGUUAAAUUUAUUAGACAUGAAGGUAUGUUAAUUGUGUAUUUGUUGUUCAUAUUAUAAAUGGAACAUUUGCGUAAAUUCAAGGGCACUUGAAAGGUUUCCAGGGUAAGAAACACUUGGAGGAUUUUUCUGUUAGUUUUCUUCGCAACCUAGUUUUGCUGAAAUCAAACAAAAGGUCCUUGACAUUUUUUCCGUACCUGCGUACAUACACUUCAAAAGACUGUUUAACCCACUUUUCCUUCUUUGUUCUUGACAUGGAAUCUCUUGCAACUCUUGAGAAUGAAGUUCUUCAAGUGAUAGCCACAUUUUUUUAAGUAAGGUGUCAUGUUUCCAUCACUGAGUUCUCCAAGGAUACGCAGGAGUUCAGAAAUAAAAUUUUUGACCCUUGGGUUUGUGAAGUCGCAAGAUUCAGCAAAUAUUAAUGAUAUAUAACCAUCUUCUUAGAGAUUCUUCUUGAUGCUAAGCAUGAUGCGAAAUCUCAGGGUGAAGAUGGAAGUCUUAAGUUUCACUUCCAAUAAUUCGUGUCAUUCAAUGUGUCCAGUAGUUCAUUGUAGAGAAAACAAGCCUUAAUCCUAGAGCACAAAGGAAAAAUGGCGGAAGAUCGUCAAGAUCAAGAUAGGAAGGCUACUUCAGCUCAAACAAGACAGUGAAACAGAUCAACGUUCUGAGGAUGACCUCAGCGAAGUUUUUGGUACAUAUGGUCUGGUCACUAAGGCAUUUUCAACUGUAGGUACGCCAGAUUACAUAGCUCCAGAAGUGUUGCUGAAUAAAGGUUAUGGCAUGGAUUAUGACUGGCUGGUAGAACUUGGUACUUGUAGCUUCACCAUCAGAAUCACUUAAAGUUGCCUGAAGAGGCAAGGUUGACACCCGCAACAAGGAAUCUCAUUUGUAGAUUUUUAUAUGAUAUUGACCAGAGACUAGAUAUUGGAGGGGCAUAUCAAAUAAAAGUGAGAUAUUAUUCCUUUUUCGAGUCUUUUCAUAUCAUGUAAUUUUGUUUCUUGUAUUUACUGUAAUGGAAACUUCUCAAGCUCAUCCUUUGUUCAAAGAAGUUGUUAAAUUUAAUUUAUAAAGUUUGUAUGAGAUUGAGAUGCUGUGCAUUUGAUUUUGCGUGGAAAUGUAUCUUAAAGUGUUAUCUAUAAUACAAUUUCACGGAGUUCAGCUUCC